Molecule: long non-coding RNA, 805 nt
Filed under: Equus asinus (donkey)
Lineage: Eukaryota; Metazoa; Chordata; Mammalia; Perissodactyla; Equidae
Description: lncRNA (ENSEASG00005036098.1)
Source: RNAcentral
UUCUCAGGGAGACAGGCAAAGAUGUAAAUAACUCCUAAGCUCGCAUGCUAGGUGCUAUAGAACGUCCAAGAAGAAUACAAGUGUGAUCCUGACUGAGCUAUCAUGUCUUCGCCCAGAGGACUAACUUGGCCCUAUGACGAGCUCCAUUUGGCGAGCAAGGGAAUGAAGUCUGGAAAAAUUAGGUCAAAUCCUCAAGAUCCCAUAGCCUGACCAUGAACUCAGGUGCUCUGAUUCCAAGCACACGGCUAUUUCCAUUACUUUCAUAUGCCAUAUGCCAAGCUCUUUUCCUCACUGACCUGAAGACAUUUGAGGGUCCAGACUGUGUUUUAUGCAGCUCCUGUUUUCCCCAUGGAUCCCAGAUAUGCAGCCUGUUGCUUUAUUAAUUGAUUUGCCAAGAAGUAGCAAGAAUGUCCUCAUGAGGCAUCCUGUCCCUAAGGACCUGAAGAAAAAAACCCUAGCAAUUCUUUUGGGGCUGGAAAGAACUGCUGAGAAGUCAUGACUGUGGUUGUUUUCAGUGCCAUGACUGAGUCAUGUUCUAAAAAAAAAAGGCUUCCAGUCACUAUUUUUGAAGGUAUGAUUCCCAACUAUCUAUAUCAACUAACAGAAGCAAACAGCAAUGUGGAUUAAGUGACCUGGUCAUGGGAUCAGGGAAUGGACCAGUGGAAGAUAGAGAGACAACUUCCAUCCACCUGCCCCAAAAGUCUCUGCGUGAGUCCUAGUCACCUACCUAUGACAUAAGUGUCUUUUUAUUUAUUUAGUCAUAUCCUACCUCAUUUCCCAAAGACUCAAAGUGGUUUCCCAUAUG